This is a long non-coding RNA of Calliphora vicina (urban bluebottle blowfly), 349 nucleotides long. RefSeq lists it as uncharacterized. The transcript is spliced from 2 exons. NCBI's taxonomy places the organism in Eukaryota, Metazoa, Arthropoda, Insecta, Diptera, Calliphoridae. The record is from RefSeq and is a predicted model, not a curated record.
AAUUUAAAAGUUUAACAACAAUUUUUGUUCUCAUCGCUUUGUUUGUAAUUACUUGCAACGCAGAACCACCGGGUUAUUGUAAAAAUAAUGAUAGUUCGGGUUUAUGUGCAGGAGGUGCACCAAACGUUAAAGCUCAAGCUGGCGAGGAGGGUAAAUGUGAAACAUAUGACAGCGAGUGUUUGGUGGAGAAAUUAAAUUGUCUGCGUUAUCGCAGUGGAGAGCCGUUAUUGAUACCAUGUUAAUUAAUAACAACGAAAUAAAUGUAUUAAAAAGGCGACAUUUUUUAUACGAUAUAUAACUCUUAAAAUGCAUGGAAUAAAUUUAAAUUUUUUAUUUAUUUGUUACAAAA